This 448-nucleotide ribosomal RNA is filed under the name uncultured Mitsuokella sp. RNAcentral's name for it is "bacterial SSU rRNA". It matches the Rfam family "Bacterial small subunit ribosomal RNA", at positions 355 to 794 of the family's 1533-position model. The record is from RNAcentral. Lineage: Bacteria; Bacillati; Bacillota; Negativicutes; Selenomonadales; Selenomonadaceae.
UGGGGAAUCUUCCGCAAUGGGCGCAAGCCUGACGGAGCAACGCCGCGUGAGUGAAGAAGGGUUUCGACUCGUAAAGCUCUGUUGUCGGGGACGAAUGUGGAGAUGGUGAAUAAUCAUUUUCAAUGACGGUACCUGACGAGGAAGCCACGGCUAACUCCGUGCCAGCAGCCGCGGUAAUACGGAGGAUGCGAGCGUUAUCCGGAUUUAUUGGGUUUAAAGGGUGCGCAGGCGGCGCGAAAAAGUCAGCGGUCAAAGUUCCGGGCUCAACCCGGUGACGCCGUUGAAACUUUCGUGCUGGAGUUCGUGCGAGGGAGGCGGAAUGCGUUGUGUAGCGGUGAAAUGCAUAGAUAUGACGCAGAACCCCGAUUGCGAAGGCAGCUUUCCAGCACGCGACUGACGCUGAGGCACGAAAGCGUGGGGAGCGAACAGGAUUAGAUACCCUGGUAGU